RNAcentral lists this long non-coding RNA (1198 nucleotides) under Oryza sativa aromatic subgroup. RNAcentral describes it as "lncRNA OsARC_07g0020270". Lineage: Eukaryota; Viridiplantae; Streptophyta; Magnoliopsida; Poales; Poaceae. The record is from RNAcentral.
CGCCCCCACCACGCCCCGCGUCCGCGCCUCCCCUGCCUCCUCAACUCCUCGUCAUCGUCGGUUCCCCUGUGUGCCUCCCUCGCCGCCGCCGCCGCCGGGGGCGGUUCCCUACUCUGCCUCCCCCACCACGCCUCCCACAUCGCGCCGCCCCCAUCGCCGCGCCCCCACAACGCCUCCACCGUCGGCACCCCCAUCGCGACACCCCUGAGCUCUGCAUCGCCGCCGACCGCCGCUCCUGCUCGCCCUCAUCUACGACGCCGCCGUCACUACCCUCUCUUCGCUGCGCUGCCCUCUCUUCGCUGCGCUGCCUCCCUCCCCGGCGUCCCCAUCCCCUCCUCGCCGCGCCACUUCCCCAUCUGCCGCCCCGCCUGCUUACCUCCCCGGCGUCCCCAUCCCUUCCUCGCCACGUCGCUUCCCCAUUCACCGCCCCCGCUGCACGCCUCACGCCGCAACCCCGCAGCGGAAUCCACCGGCGAGCUAACCGCCGUCCCGGCAGGUCGCCGUCAAUCGCCGUCGCCCCGCAGGUCGGCGUUGCACUGCAGAGGGAUUUCCCCGCCGAACGGUCGCCGCAGCAGGUCUACGCCACCUUCUUCCCACGCCGACUCCAUGUCUAAUCCCUACCUCACCACAGUUUCAACUUGUGGUUCCAGCUGAAGCAAUUGGAGAUUUAUUAAAUCUAAGGCUACAUGCUAGGCUGCUAUGAGAUGUAGAUCAAAUAGGCUAUCCUAUUAGAUGGUUAUUGAGCAAGCAUGUUUAUACCAAACAGUCAUUUUGUUUGUUGCUGGAACUAUCAGGUUGCCAUAUAGGCAUGCUAAAAAACCGUCAGGAAGUGUACAAGCUUACAAGCUGUAAAUAAACGGAAUGAAGAGCAAUAGAUCAUCUGUUAGGUUGCCUUCGGUUUUGAACAAGCGCUAUAAGGUGGUCGAAGAAAUUCUAUUAUUUUAUUUACCAUUGAUUGGCUAUCUGUUGAUGCUUUUAUUAUUCAACCAAACUGGUGGAGGAGCCAAGGUCACAAUAAUCUUAUUAAAGGUAGUACGUACUUAUAGAACCUCCAUUUUCAUCGGUACAUGUGAGAGUGAGCUUUAAUAAUGUAUUCCAUGAUGAAAUGUAUUCCAUAGCAUUAGGAUUGGAUGCUACAGGGAGACAAAUCUCGGCUGUGUCAUGUAUUCCAUGAUGCAAAGUUGAUGUUGGCUAUUGU